Molecule: ribosomal RNA, 491 nt
Filed under: Serratia marcescens
Lineage: Bacteria; Pseudomonadati; Pseudomonadota; Gammaproteobacteria; Enterobacterales; Yersiniaceae
Description: bacterial SSU rRNA
Rfam family: Bacterial small subunit ribosomal RNA
Source: RNAcentral
UCUGGGAAACUGCCUGAUGGAGGGGGAUAACUACUGGAAACGGUAGCUAAUACCGCAUAACGUCGCAAGACCAAAGAGGGGGACCUUCGGGCCUCUUGCCAUCAGAUGUGCCCAGAUGGGAUUAGCUAGUAGGUGGGGUAAUGGCUCACCUAGGCGACGAUCCCUAGCUGGUCUGAGAGGAUGACCAGCCACACUGGAACUGAGACACGGUCCAGACUCCUACGGGAGGCAGCAGUGGGGAAUAUUGCACAAUGGGCGCAAGCCUGAUGCAGCCAUGCCGCGUGUGUGAAGAAGGCCUUCGGGUUGUAAAGCACUUUCAGCGAGGAGGAAGGUGGUGAACUUAAUACGUUCAUCAAUUGACGUUACUCGCAGAAGAAGCACCGGCUAACUCCGUGCCAGCAGCCGCGGUAAUACGGAGGGUGCAAGCGUUAAUCGGAAUUACUGGGCGUAAAGCGCACGCAGGCGGUUUGUUAAGUCAGAUGUGAAAUCCC